GUUUUGAGUCUUGUUCUCCCUACAAGUGUCUCCGCCCUCACCAACGAUAGAAUUGGCUUGGGGGGACACUGCUUAUAAAUACACAACAUGGAGAGACUUUACUACACAUUCUACUAGAGGAGAGGGAUACAAGAGGUGAAAAUCACUAACAUUUGAGAGGUGUGCAAAAGAGUUUAUUUUGGAUAGUUAUCAUCCUUUUGCCAAGAUUAGUUGAAGUAUGCACCUUCCAAUGACUGAGCUUUUUUGCCUGCUUGUAUAGCUUCUUGGUUUCUUGACAUUGAUGAAUAACCUUUUUCCAGGAGGCGCCACAAGAACG
This 316-nucleotide unclassified non-coding RNA is filed under the name Hevea brasiliensis (rubber tree). Lineage: Eukaryota; Viridiplantae; Streptophyta; Magnoliopsida; Malpighiales; Euphorbiaceae. The record is from RNAcentral.